GAGAUAAACUUACGAACUGCUAAAUCGUAUAUACCGAACCUAAACACUCGGACCUCUC
RNAcentral lists this transfer RNA (58 nucleotides) under Agama etoshae. RNAcentral describes it as "tRNA-Ser". Lineage: Eukaryota; Metazoa; Chordata; Lepidosauria; Squamata; Agamidae. The record is from RNAcentral.